RNAcentral lists this ribosomal RNA (253 nucleotides) under uncultured bacterium. RNAcentral describes it as "partial 16S ribosomal RNA". It matches the Rfam family "Bacterial small subunit ribosomal RNA", at positions 524 to 776 of the family's 1533-position model. The record is from RNAcentral.
UACAGAGGUCUCAAGCGUUGUUCGGAUUCAUUGGGCGUAAAGGGUGUGUAGGUGGCGCCGUAGGUCGGGUGUGAAAUUUCGGAGCUUAACUCCGAAACUGCAUUCGAUACUGCGGUGCUUGAGGACUGGAGAGGAGACUGGAAUUCCUGGUGUAGCGGUGAAAUGCGCAGAUAUCAGGAGGAACACCGGUGGCGAAGGCGGAUCUCUGGGCCUUACCUGACGCUCAGGUGCGAAAGCUAGGGGAGCGAACAGG